Molecule: ribosomal RNA, 372 nt
Filed under: uncultured bacterium
Lineage: Bacteria
Description: bacterial SSU rRNA
Rfam family: Bacterial small subunit ribosomal RNA
Source: RNAcentral
CCUACGGGAGGCAGCAGUGGGGAAUAUUGGACAAUGGGGGCAACCCUGAUCCAGCAAUGCCGCGUGAGUGAUGAAGGCCUUAGGGUUGUAAAGCUCUUUUACCAGGGAUGAUAAUGACAGUACCUGGAGAAUAAGCUCCGGCUAACUCCGUGCCAGCAGCCGCGGUAAUACGGAGGGAGCUGGCGUUGUUCGGAAUUACUGGGCGUAAAGCGCACGUAGGCGGUUACUCAAGUCAGAGGUGAAAGCCCGGGGCUCAACCCCGGAACUGCCUUUGAAACUAGGUAGCUAGAAUCCUGGAGAGGUGAGUGGAAUUCCGAGUGUAGAGGUGAAAUUCGUAGAUAUUCGGAAGAACACCAGUGGCGAAGGCGGCUC